UUACUGGUUUACUGUAAUGGUCUCCUAACUGGUUUAGUAGGCUGGACUACUGUAAUGGUCUCUUAACUGGUCUUCCCAAAAAAGACCAUUAAAAAGCUGCAGCUGCAGCUUACCGCAGUUCUAAAAUCUUUACACUGGCUUCCAAUUAGGUACAGAAUAGGUUUUAAAGUGCUGCUACUGCUCUUAAAAUCACGGAAUGGAUUGGUCCCAGAAUACAUCUCUGACAUGAUUAAACAAUAUAAACUCAUGAACUCAGGUCAGCUAGUAGAGUCCAGAGUAGGGCUCUUAGAUCCAUGGACUCAGGUCAGCUAGUAGAGUCCAGAGUAGGGCUCUCAGAUCCAUGGAAUCAGGUCAGCUAGUAGAGCCCAGUCCAAAUUAAACCGGAUGAAAAAACCUUUUAACUGUUAUGCUUCAUACAGAGCAAACUGCCAGACAUUCUUAGAUGUGCCCCAAAUGUAGCAAUUUUUAGAUCCACACA
Clupea harengus (Atlantic herring) is the source of this 478-nucleotide long non-coding RNA. The record is from Ensembl. Lineage: Eukaryota; Metazoa; Chordata; Actinopteri; Clupeiformes; Clupeidae.